AUGAAUGAGGAAUACGACAUAAUUGUGCUGGGCACCGGCCUGACGGAAUGUAUCCUGUCGGGGAUAAUGUCAGUAAAUGGAAAGAAGGUUCUUCAUAUGGAUCAGAAUCCAUACUAUGGAGGAGAAAGUGCAUCUAUAACACGCUGGAAGAUUUAUACAAAGAUUUAAAUUACCAGGACAAACGCCAGCAUCAAUGGGGAGAGGAAGAGACUGGAAUGUUGACUUAAUUCCCAAGUUCCUUAUGGCCAAUGGUCAGUUGGUGAAGAUGCUGCUUUUCACAGAGGUCACUGGUUACAUGGACUUCAAAGUGAUUGAGGGAAGCUUUGUCUACAAGCGAGGAAAAAUCUACAUGGUUCCUUCCACUGAAGCAGAAGCCCUGCAUCUAGCUUAAUGGGACUGUUUGAGAAAUGCUGCUUCAGGAAGUUCCUGGUUUAUGUUGCCAACUUUGAUGAAAAAGAUCCUAGAACUUUCGAGGGUGUUGAUCCUAAGAAGACCUCCAUGAGAGAUGUGUAUAAGAAGUUUGAUUUGGGCCAAGAUGUUAUAGACUUUACUGGCCAUUCUCUUGCACUGUACAGAACUGAUGACUACUUAGAUCAGCUGUGUUGUGAAACCAUUAAUAGAAUUAAACUUUACAGCGAGUCUUUGGGAAGAUAUGGUAAAAGCCCAUACCUCUAUCAGCUUUAUGGUCUUAGAGAAUUGCUGCAAGGAUUUGCAAGGUUAAGUGCUAUAUAUGGAGGUACCUACAUGUUGAAUAAACCAAUUGAAGAAAUCAUUGUGCAAAAUGGAAAAGUGGUUGGCAUAAUAUCUGAAGGAGAGAUUGCUCGCUGUAAACAGCUCAUCUGUGAUCCCAGCUAUGUAAAAGAUCGGGUUGAACAAGUGGGCCAGGUAACCAGAGUGAUCUGUAUCCUUAGCCACCCUAUCAAGAACACCAACGAUGCUAACUCCUGCCAGAUCACCAUUCCACAGGACCAAGUCAACCGCAAGUCAGAUAUCUAUGUUUGCAUGAUCUUCUUUGCACAUAAUAUGGCAGCACAGGGCAAGUAUAUUGCCAUUGUAAGUACAACCGUGGAGACCAAGGAACCAGAGAAAGAAAUCAGACUGGCUUUGGAGCUCUUGGAACAAACUGAACAGGAAUUUGUCAGCAUCAGUGACCUCUUUGUACCUAAAGAUUUGGAAACAGAUAGUCAGAUCUUCAUUUCUCCCACCUAUGAUGCUACCACACACUUUGAGACAACCUGUGAUGAUGAACCCUGAGGGGAGAGAUUUGAUGAAGACAUCCCAUUUAGGGCUGA
Mus caroli (Ryukyu mouse) is the source of this 1292-nucleotide non-coding RNA. Lineage: Eukaryota; Metazoa; Chordata; Mammalia; Rodentia; Muridae. The record is from RefSeq and is a predicted model, not a curated record.